ACGCAGUAAACGAUGAAUACUAGCUGUUGGCGAUAUAAUGUCAGCGGUACAGCGAAAGUGUUAAGUAUUCCACCUGGGGAGUACGCCGGCAACGGUGAAACUCAAAGGAAUUGACGGGGGCCCGCACAAGCGGAGGAACAUGUGGUUUAAUUCGAUGAUACGCGAGGAACCUUACCCGGGCUUGAAAGUUAGUGACGGACGCAGAGACGCGUCUUCCCUUCGGGGCACGAAACUAGGUGCUGCAUGGUUGUCGUCAGCUCGUGCCGUGAGGUGUCGGCUUAAGUGCCAUAACGAGCGCAACCCCUGCCGUUAGUUGCCAUCGGGUAAUGCCGGGAACUCUAGCGGGACUGCUACUGUAAGGUAGAGGAGGGUGGGGAUGACGUCAAAUCAGCACGGCCCUUACGUCCGGGGCGACACACGUGUUACAAUGGCGAGUACAGAGGGUUGCUACCUGGCGACAGGAUGCUAAUCUCAUAAAACUCGUCUCAGUUCGGAUUGGAGUCUGCAACUCGACUCCAUGAAGCUGGAUUCGCUAGUAAUCGCGCAUCAGCCAUGGCGCGGUGAAUACGUUCCCGGGCCUUGUACACACCGCCCGUCAAGCCAUGGAAGCCUGGGGUACCUAAAGUUCGUAACCGCGAGGAGCGACCUAGGGUAAAACAGGUAACUGGGGCU
This 672-nucleotide ribosomal RNA is filed under the name uncultured equine intestinal eubacterium sp. MW16. RNAcentral describes it as "bacterial SSU rRNA". It matches the Rfam family "Bacterial small subunit ribosomal RNA", at positions 797 to 1482 of the family's 1533-position model. The record is from RNAcentral.